GAGUUUGAUCUUGGCUCAGAUUGAACGCUGGCGGCAGGCCUAACACAUGCAAGUCGAGCGGUAGAGAGAAGCUUGCUUCUCUUGAGAGCGGCGGACGGGUGAGUAAUGCCUAGGAAUCUGCCUGGUAGUGGGGGAUAACGCUCGGAAACGGACGCUAAUACCGCAUACGUCCUACGGGAGAAAGCAGGGGACCUUCGGGCCUUGCGCCAUCAGAUGAGCCUAGGUCGGAUUAGCUAGUUGGUGAGGUAAUGGCUCACCAAGGCGACGAUCCGUAACUGGUCUGAGAGGAUGAUCAGUCACACUGGAACUGAGACACGGUCCAGACUCCUACGGGAGGC
RNAcentral lists this ribosomal RNA (338 nucleotides) under uncultured bacterium. Its description in RNAcentral is "bacterial SSU rRNA". It matches the Rfam family "Bacterial small subunit ribosomal RNA", at positions 9 to 349 of the family's 1533-position model. The record is from RNAcentral.